RNAcentral lists this ribosomal RNA (253 nucleotides) under uncultured bacterium. RNAcentral's name for it is "partial 16S ribosomal RNA". It matches the Rfam family "Bacterial small subunit ribosomal RNA", at positions 524 to 776 of the family's 1533-position model. The record is from RNAcentral.
UACGUAGGGCGCAAGCGUUAUCCGGAAUUAUUGGGCGUAAAGAGCUCGUAGGCGGUUUGUCGCGUCUGCCGUGAAAGUCCGGGGCUCAACUCCGGAUCUGCGGUGGGUACGGGCAGACUAGAGUGAUGUAGGGGAGACUGGAAUUCCUGGUGUAGCGGUGAAAUGCGCAGAUAUCAGGAGGAACACCGAUGGCGAAGGCAGGUCUCUGGGCAUUAACUGACGCUGAGGAGCGAAAGCGUGGGGAGCAAACAGG